RNAcentral lists this ribosomal RNA (253 nucleotides) under uncultured bacterium. RNAcentral's name for it is "partial 16S ribosomal RNA". It matches the Rfam family "Bacterial small subunit ribosomal RNA", at positions 524 to 776 of the family's 1533-position model. The record is from RNAcentral.
UACAAAGGGGGCGAGCGUUAAUCGGAAUUACUGGGCGUAAAGCGCACGUAGGCGGAGUCGUUAGUCAGGGGUGAAACCCCGGGGCUCAACCUCGGAAGUGCAUUUGAGACUGCAGUGCUCGAGUCCGGAAGAGGAGGGUGGAAUUCCUGGUGUAGCGGUGAAAUUCGUAGAUAUCAGGAGGAACACCAGUGGCGAAGGCGGCGCUCUGGUCCGGUACUGACGCUGAAGUGCGAAAGCGUGGGGAGCAAACAGG